Engraulis encrasicolus (European anchovy) is the source of this 375-nucleotide non-coding RNA. The record is from the annotation of a RefSeq genome assembly. NCBI's taxonomy places the organism in Eukaryota, Metazoa, Chordata, Actinopteri, Clupeiformes, Engraulidae.
AUGCACCCUUAUCCCUCUGCUGUGGUAGGUAAAACCCUCCAGGAUGGCAUCAGGUCCUGGGAUACGGUCAAGCAUGUAGAAGAAGGUGGAACUGUCACUCUCACAUGCAACUACAGUGGCUCUGUCCGGACAUUGCAGUGGUAUCGCCAGUUUCUGCAUGCUGAGCCACAAUUCCUCCAGUACAUUACCACAUCGGGAAUGAAAUAUCCUGAACAUGUUGAAAACCUGUCUUCAAAGGUUUCUACCAAAAACUCAAGUGUGAUGCUGGAGAUUUCCUCUGUGAAAAUGACAAGCGCAGCAGUAUACUACUGUGCAUUGGAGCCCACACUGACAGGAAAUCACAAAACUCUGAACAAAAACCUCAUGGGUUCAUGA